GACUGUGAGGGCAAUCUGGCUGCAACAUGUCAUUCCACUGAUCACCAGGGUUGCUUUGGCUGAUCUAGCUGGCUAGGAAGGUGUCCCCUUUCUCCCUCACUGCUCCAUAUGUGUCCCUCUUUAAGCUGCAUGCUGGGUCAGAGGAUGAUGUUCACGACAGAGGGGGAAUGUUCUUCUGUCGAGGGUAUAUGACUAACUGUGCUUCCCUGUUAGAACCUCCAAACAAGUCCUCCAUUAAGGGUGUUUAUAAGACUGUGAGUUUCAGGUAUAGUAUCUAUCACUGCAAGAUAAACCAACAAAAUAGUCUCGGAAAACAAUUCAUUUUCUU
Molecule: unclassified non-coding RNA, 328 nt
Organism: Fukomys damarensis (Damara mole-rat)
Lineage: Eukaryota; Metazoa; Chordata; Mammalia; Rodentia; Bathyergidae
Gene: 7SK
Rfam family: 7SK RNA
About the family: 7SK was discovered as an abundant small nuclear RNA in the mid-70s but a possible function has only recently been suggested.
Source: Ensembl